This 1414-nucleotide long non-coding RNA is filed under the name Panax ginseng (ginseng). RNAcentral describes it as "long non-coding RNA (PGIN_LNC003415)". The record is from RNAcentral. Lineage: Eukaryota; Viridiplantae; Streptophyta; Magnoliopsida; Apiales; Araliaceae.
CUUUUCAGCCUCCAGCAGGUCCCUUCAUUCCAUUCCCUCCGCCUUACACGGACCUAAAAGAGUACCUAAGGCGUAUUAGUGGUUUCUUUUCAAAAGGGAUUUAUUUUGACCGUAGCUUUUAGACAGCUAACAGCUAAGCCACUAAUCACACAGCUAAUAAAGUCGGUCACUACUGAGACAGCUCAUAAAAGUAGUUUCACCCCUAUUCCCUCUAAAGCUUCGGGUUCAUCUCUGUUCAGGUUCAAGGGAGGGGGGACCCAGACUUUAGAUCUCUUCUCUAUGGCGGGAGGUUUCUUUCGUAUCCAGAGUGUGUUGGGGAGGCCAGGGAAGACGGAUUGGAUCGAGCUAUGUCUAUGGCUAUGGCACAAAGGCUUGCUCAACUUGGAGAAGAAAUCGAACGCGUCGAGAACCAGCUCUUCUUUCCUCAUCCUCUGAGGUUACCCGUAAAUCUACCCUUCAGAUCUUACCACCGAACUUACCUUCUGCGCUCUUCGAAUUUCUGAUUCUACGGAAUGUUAGUUUUCAAUCUCAUUUGAGAGUCGUAGUUCUAUUGCGCUGGGGCUGCUCCUUAGUCGUUGGCCUCCUUUGCUUCUUGGCUGUAGCACUUCUCUUGCGUGCGCAGGUUCCCCUAGCUCUGUUCAUGGAUCUAUUCUAAGACUAAAAAUGGGGGCUAAAGCCCUUUAUGAAUAUUCAUAGAGUAUAUACUCUAUUUUGAAAGAUAGGUUUGGAAAUCCACUGAAAGGGAACUCUUCCAAGUUUUCUUUCCUAUCCAACGGAAAACUGCUUUCACUGCGACUUUGCAGCUCCGAAGAGAAGGAAGUAGCUUGACUUUCACGACUAUCAGGGCACCUACUGAACUAGAUGCAACUCAAAAGUUCCGCGCUCUCUAUCCCCUUUUUUUGAGGUCCUCAUGAACCGCUUUUUAGUAUUCGUGUUCGCUUUCUUUCUUCCUUCUCUUCCACACGGAAGGAUCCUGGGGUUCUCCCAACAUACAUAUCCGGGGGUGCAACUGUUUAGUAAGCAAGGACUUGCUGCUCGCUCGCUGUCUACUAAAUGAGCCUUCACUGCCCGCCCGGCCCCUCUCUUUAAUCUUAAGUAAAGUGAAGUCAAAUCAAUGAAGUGAACAGCCCAACCUCUUUGUUUGAAGCUUUGCCAGGAAGCUUCUACUUGUUGAAGCUUUGUUUCCCCUAAUAACGAAACACAACAAUAGACUUGCAACUAUAGUCUCCGACCGAGCAAAGCGCCUUGCUGGUUCUAUCUAAAUAAGAGAGUAGGCGUGCGUUUGGUUUUAUUAGGAUUUCCAUAUCUGCCCACCUUCCUUUAUUUCAAGGUGAGAUAAGCGCCUCCAGGUUGUCUGGUCAUUUUUUUAGUAUCUGAAUCAUAGAUUAUGCCAUACUAUUAUAUGGAUUUCUUC